RNAcentral lists this ribosomal RNA (554 nucleotides) under Rondaniella dimidiata. RNAcentral describes it as "eukaryotic LSU rRNA". It matches the Rfam family "Eukaryotic large subunit ribosomal RNA", at positions 402 to 801 of the family's 3401-position model. The record is from RNAcentral. Lineage: Eukaryota; Metazoa; Arthropoda; Insecta; Diptera; Mycetophilidae.
AAACCGCUUAGGGGUUAAGCCCGAUGAACCUGAAUAUCCGAAAUGAGAAAUUCAAUAUUAUUUUGUUAAAAGAUGGUAUGCACUUUUCUCAUAGUAGGACAUUGCGAUCCAUUAAUAAAAUCUCUUUGAGAUAGUUUAUCAAACGACCCAAUUAGUUAGUUUAAUCUAUCUGCAAUAUUUAUUUAUUGUAUGGUUAAUGCUUAUUUGGUGAUCUGGUAAACAGUUGAUGGAGCUUAAAAAUCAUGCAACCAUGCAUAUGUAUCACGAUUUAUUUAAUUAAUUUUAUUUAAAUGCAGUGAUGGCAUGUAUUUGAUUAGCAAUGCGAUAGAUUUGGGAUACCUUCGGGACCCGUCUUGAAACACGGACCAAGAAGUCUAACAUGUGUGUAAGUCAUUGGGUAUUUUUUGUUGAAACCUAAAGGCGAAAUUAAAAUAACUAUAUUUUAAAUGGGAUUACAAGUAAUUUUUUUUAAAUAAUUAUUUCUCCAUCCCGGGGCGUUCUAUUUGAACAUGGUUUAAGCAAUUAAAUCCUCUGUUUGAGAGCGUACCUUGAAC